CCUACGGGUGGCAGCAGUGAGGAAUAUUGGUCAAUGGGCGAGAGCCUGAACCAGCCAAGUCGCGUGAGGGAGUACUGCCCUAUGGGUUGUAAACCUCUUUUGUCGGGGAGCAAAAGCCGGACGUGUCCGGCUGUGAGAGUACCCGAAGAAAAAGCAUCGGCCAACUCCGUGCCAGCAGCCGCGGUAAUACGGAGGAUGCGAGCGUUAUCCGGAUUUAUUGGGUUUAAAGGGUUCGCAGGCGGAUUUUUAAGUCAGCGGUAAAAUCGUGGGGCUCAACCCCAUCCAGCCGUUGAAACUGGGGAUCUAGAGUGUGCGAGAGGUAUGCGGAAUGCGUGGUGUAGCGGUGAAAUGCAUAGAUAUCACGCAGAACCCCGAUUGCGAAGGCAGCAUACCGGUGCACAACUGACGCUCAGGCACGAAAGCGUGGGUAUCGAACAGGAUUAGAUACCCCUGUAGUC
Molecule: ribosomal RNA, 458 nt
Filed under: uncultured bacterium
Lineage: Bacteria
Description: partial 16S ribosomal RNA
Rfam family: Bacterial small subunit ribosomal RNA
Source: RNAcentral